AGCGAACGUUAGCGGCGCGCCUAACACAUGCAAGUCGCACGAGAAACGGAGCAAUCCGCGGUACAGUGGCGCACGGGUGAGUAACACGUGGAUGACCUUCCCUGGAGUGGUGGAUAACCUGCCGAAAGGCGGGCUAAUACAGCAUGGGACCACGACGCUUUGGCGAUGUGGUGAAAGCGGGCCUCUAUAUAUAAGCUCGCGCUCCGGGACGGGUCCGCGUCCCAUCAGCUAGUUGGUGAGGUAACGGCUCACCAAGGCAACGACGGGUAGCUGGUCUGAGAGGAUGGCCAGCCACACUGGAACUGAGACACGGUCCAGACUCCUACGGGAGGCAGCAGUGGGGAAUCUUGCGCAAUGGGCGAAAGCCUGACGCAGCGACGCCGCGUGGGCGAAGAAGGCCUC
This 402-nucleotide ribosomal RNA is filed under the name uncultured bacterium. RNAcentral describes it as "bacterial SSU rRNA". It matches the Rfam family "Bacterial small subunit ribosomal RNA", at positions 29 to 418 of the family's 1533-position model. The record is from RNAcentral.